CUAGGAUGAACGCUAGCGACAGGCCUAACACAUGCAAGUCAGGGGCAGCACAAGGAGCAAUCUGAGGUGGCGACCGGCGCACGGGUGAGUAACACGUAUGCAACCUGCCUGUAAGCGGGGAAUAACCCGUUGAAAGACGGACUAAUACCGCAUAAUACUAAAUUACUGCAUGGUAAUUUAUUUAAACAUUUAUGGCUUACAGAUGGGCAUGCGCAUGAUUAGCUAGUUGGAGAGGUAACGGCUCCCCAAGGCAACGAUCAUUAGGGGUUCUGAGAGGAAGGUCCCCCACACUGGUACUGAGACACGGACCAGACUCCUACGGGAGGCAGCAGUGAGGAAUAUUGGUCAAUGGACGAGAGUCUGAACCAGCCAAGUCGCGUGCAGGAAGAAUGUCCUUAAUGGAUUGUAAACUGCUUUUGCAGGGGAAUAAAGUGCAUCACGUGUGAUGUUUUGUAUGUACUCUGCGAAUAAGGAUCGGCUAACUCCGUGCCAGCAGCAGC
RNAcentral lists this ribosomal RNA (500 nucleotides) under uncultured bacterium. RNAcentral describes it as "bacterial SSU rRNA". It matches the Rfam family "Bacterial small subunit ribosomal RNA", at positions 26 to 518 of the family's 1533-position model. The record is from RNAcentral.